Molecule: ribosomal RNA, 449 nt
Filed under: uncultured organism
Description: partial 16S ribosomal RNA
Rfam family: Bacterial small subunit ribosomal RNA
Source: RNAcentral
ACACUCCUACGGGAGGCAGCAGUGGGGAAUCUUGCGCAAUGGGCGAAAGCCUGACGCAGCCAUGCCGCGUGAAUGAUGAAGGUCUUAGGAUUGUAAAAUUCUUUCACCGGGGACGAUAAUGACGGUACCCGGAGAAGAAGCCCCGGCUAACUUCGUGCCAGCAGCCGCGGUAAUACGAAGGGGGCUAGCGUUGCUCGGAAUUACUGGGCGUAAAGGGAGCGUAGGCGGACAUUUAAGUCAGGGGUGAAAUCCCGGGGCUCAACCUCGGAAUUGCCUUUGAUACUGGGUGUCUUGAGUAUGAGAGAGGUGUGUGGAACUCCGAGUGUAGAGGUGAAAUUCGUAGAUAUUCGGAAGAACACCAGUGGCGAAGGCGACACACUGGCUCAUUACUGACGCUGAGGCUCGAAAGCGUGGGGAGCAAACAGGAUUAGAAACCCGAGUAGUCCCAU